Molecule: non-coding RNA, 29 nt
Filed under: Homo sapiens (human)
Lineage: Eukaryota; Metazoa; Chordata; Mammalia; Primates; Hominidae
Source: RNAcentral
AAGGCUGAGAAGGAUGAGACGGUGAGUGU